Molecule: long non-coding RNA, 445 nt
Organism: Suricata suricatta (meerkat)
Lineage: Eukaryota; Metazoa; Chordata; Mammalia; Carnivora; Herpestidae
Exons: 3
Source: RefSeq, a predicted model, not a curated record
AGGAAAGAGAAGCCUCCCAUUUCUGUGGGUGGAAGCUGAGAGAAUGAAUCUUAAGGUGCCAAGAAAGUGGGGCUGGCCCUGCUGUGGAGGAACAGGGAGGAACGAACAUCAAAAGGAAAUCAGAAAGGUAGAAAUGACACAUAAUAUAUACUCCUGCAAGAUACUUAUUAACAGGAUUCUUCCAGGAAGACACAUGAAACUCAUUCCUGGGUGGAGAAACCCGGCUGGCUUCUGUCACAGAGAGAAGCAGACACGUAUGGCUGUCAUCAUGGGAAGGAGUGUAUGAACUAUUUCACACCUUGGUGCCUUCACCUGUGCUAUUACCAGUCCUGGAAGACCAGCCUUCACCCUUAUCCUAUUCCAUGAGGAAGCCUUCCCUGAUGCCGCUGCUCUCCUGUGGUUGCCCUUCUUCCUGUUACACCCUUCACUCCUAUGUCCUAGCACC